Molecule: small RNA, 607 nt
Filed under: Pongo abelii (Sumatran orangutan)
Lineage: Eukaryota; Metazoa; Chordata; Mammalia; Primates; Hominidae
Description: retained intron
Source: RNAcentral
UUAGUAGCUUAUUAAUAUAUCCGAAAGGCCCGCUGAUUAGACACCCGAGUUAGCAACAGAUCAUACAAGUCAUGCAGUACUUUCAGUCCCCGUAAUUGAGUCAAAAUACCUAGUUUGUUAGGAGGGACGGGCCCUCUUUUACCCAUGGCCUCAUUUCGUAUCACAUCAUAGCAAACAGUUUAUGCCAAGAACCAAAAUAGCUGUUUUGUUUCAAAUUUGUCUUGAGUCCUCACUAGUUGUAGAUGGUGAAAUAGGCAAGUUUCAAGACCAUCUUAAGUGCAUAGGAUCCUGAGGAGGGCUUGUACAUUUCAGAGCCUGUUGCCAGUCAAAUAAUACAAUCAUAUAUUUGGAUCUGGUGAGACUGGGCAUGAUUCAGAAAAGCUGGAAGAUCUAGAGAGGGAUCUUGCAAUCUGAAGUUUGUUUAGUCACUGGAGGAUUUGAACGUCUAUGACACUCUUCCGAGCUGACACAGUGAAGAACAUGGAAGGAGAACUCACCCAGUCUGCCAGGGUCACAGAUGAUCAUACUCAAGAUCUUCCUGGGGAGUCAACGGCAAAUUUCACUGGGCUACUUUACAGAUGAAGAAGGAAUAUAAAGAAGGUUCUGG